UCGAAGUUGCAAUGGGGGAACACCUCAGCCCGACCCAACGACAAGAGCUCAGAUUUGGUCCAGCGAAAUUAGGCCAUGUUCUCCGAGGUGCCGGGCGCAUGGAUCUUGUGGAACAUCAUAUCCACACCCGUCCAGGAGAGAAAGUGCGUAAACGGCCAUACCGGAUACCAGAAGCCCGGAGGAGUCACACAGUGAGUGGUCUAGCCCCAUAGUGCUGGUUCCGAAACCGGACGGAACCUUCCACUUCUGUAAUGACUCCCAGGGCCUGAACGAAGUCCGUAAGUUCGAUGCCUACCCCAUGCCCCAGGUGGACGAACUGAUCGACCGCUUGGGGAUGGCGAGAUACAUCAGCACCUUGGACCUGAUGAAGGGCACUGGCAGGUGCCACUGGCAGCGGCCUCCCGGGAGAAGACUGCCUUCUCCACCCCGGGGGGGCUAUACCACUACCGGGUUCUGCCUUUCGGGCUCCACGGGGCACCAGCGACCUUUCAGCGACUCAUGGACCGCGUCCUGCGGCCGCACGGUGAGUACGCCGCUGCUUAUCUGGAUGACAUAAUUGUGCAGUGACAGUUGGGAGUCACAUCUUUGUAGGUUACAGGCCGUGGUGGAUGCGCUAAGGGACGCAGGUCUGACCGCGAACCCCCACAAGUGCAAGCUGGGCUACGCCGAGGUGGAGUACCUGGGCUAUCAGAUCGGGAGGGGAAAUGUGAAACCUCAAGAAAAGAAAAUCGCUGCCAUUAAGGGAUGGCCAGUGAAGUCAUUCCUGGGGUUAGCAGGGUACUACAGUAGAUUCGUACCUAACUUUGCCGCAAUAGCUUCUCCCCUCACAGACUUAACAAAGGCACGACUACCCCAGUCGGUGCGAUGGACAGAGGACACAAAGGUGGCAUUCCAGGCCCUGAAGGAUGCGCUAUGUUCACACCCGGUACUUGUCACCCCGGACUUCUCAAAAAACCUCCUGGUCCAGACAGAUGCGUCUGACACAGGGGUAGGGGCCGUUUUGUCCCAAGAGCUGGAUGGCGAGGAGCACCCCAUCAGGUAUGUCAGCAGGAAACUCCUCCCGAGGGAGAAGAAAUACUCCAUUGUCGAGAAGGAGUGCCUCACCGUGAAGUGGGCACUGGACACCCUCAAGUAUUACCACCUCGGGAGGAAGUUCACCCUGAUCACUGACCAUGCCCCCCUUGUGUGGAUGGAAAGAGGUAAGGACAUGAAUGACCGUGUCACUCGCUGGUUCCUGUCCUUACAGCGAUUCUCUUUCUCUGUCAUCCACAGUUCGGGGGCCCAGCACAGCAAUGCGGACGCCCUAUCCCAGAGGGAUGCAAACCUAGCCCUUAGCCCUGACUGGGAGGGAGGCAUGCUAAGGGGUGGGGUAUCCCAGGAGAUCUACCCCGGGGGAUGGUAAUAGAGGGGAGGUAUGUGAGGCGACGUUGGCUCCCUCUGCUGGGAAUACGGGAGCUGGGCACCCCGACACCGACAGCUCUAAGUGGAGGUAAUUAGAGGAAAGCCAUGGAGGCCAAAUAAAAGGAGCACGGUGGCACACUGCGAGAGAGAAUGGGGAGAGACCGACACCAAGCCACAGUAGAGAAGAAGGACUGAGCCAAACCUAAGUGAUUUUCUUUGUUAUGUUUAUUUUCUGGUUAGUAAAGUUGUUUUUGCGGACUAAAGCCUCCCUGUCUCUGUCAAUCUCUGCACACUCAACCCAAUACCCCACGGUUUACCACACUCUUUACAAAACUGUUUCAGUUCAGCAAUAUUCUUGGGAUGUCUGGUGUGAACUGCUCUCUUGAGGUCAUGCCACAGUAUCUCAGUCGGAUUGAGGUUAGGACUCUGACUGGGCCACUCCAGAAGGCAUAUUUUCUUCUGUUGAAGCCAUUCUGCUGUUGGUUUACUUCUGUGUUUUGGGUCGUUGUCCUGUUGCAUCACCCAACUUCGGUUGAACUUCAAUUGCCGGACAGAUAGCCUAACAUUCUCCUAUAAAAUGUCUUGAUAAACUUGGGAAUUCAUUUUUUUGUCGACGAUAGCAAGCUGUCCAGGCCUUGAGGCAGCAAAGCAACCCCAAACAAUGAUGCUCCCUCUACCAUACUUUACCGUUGGGAUGAGGUUUUGAUGUUGGUGUGCUGUGCCUUUCAUCUGUCCACAGAAUAUUUUGCCAGUAGCGAUGUGGAACAUCCAGGUGCACUUUCACAAACUUCAGACUUGCAGCAAUGUUUUUUUUGGACGGCAGUGGCUUCUUCCGUGGUGUCCUCCCAUGAAAACCAUUCUUUAGUGUUUUACGUAUCGUAGACUCGUCAACAAAGAUCUCAGCAUGUUCCAGAGAUUUCUGUAAGUCUUUAGCUGACACUCUAGGAUUCUUAACCUCAUUGAGAAUUCUGUGCUGUGCUCUUGCAGUCCUCUUUGCAGGAUGGCCACUCCUAGGGAGAGUAGCAACAGUGCUGAACUUUCUCCAUUUAUAGACAAUGUGUCUUACCGUGGACUGAUGAACAUCAAGGCUUUUAGAGAUACUUUUGUAACCCUUCCAGCUUUAUGCAAGUCAACAAUUCUUAAGUCUUCUGAGAUCUCUUUUGUUCGAGGCGUGGUUCACAUCAGGCAAUGCUUCUUGUGAAUAGCAAACUCAAAAUGUGAGUUUUUU
Molecule: long non-coding RNA, 2629 nt
Filed under: Salmo salar (Atlantic salmon)
Lineage: Eukaryota; Metazoa; Chordata; Actinopteri; Salmoniformes; Salmonidae
Description: lncRNA (ENSSSAG00000118854.1, ENSSSAG00020079301.1)
Source: RNAcentral